RNAcentral lists this ribosomal RNA (253 nucleotides) under uncultured bacterium. Its description in RNAcentral is "partial 16S ribosomal RNA". It matches the Rfam family "Bacterial small subunit ribosomal RNA", at positions 524 to 776 of the family's 1533-position model. The record is from RNAcentral.
UACGUAGGGUGCGAGCGUUAAUCGGAAUUACUGGGCGUAAAGCGUGCGCAGGCGGUUUUGUAAGUCCGAUGUGAAAGCCCCGGGCUUAACCUGGGAAUGGCAUUUGGGACUGCAAGGCCUGAGUGCGGCAGAGGAGACUGGAAUUCCUGGUGUAGCAGUGAAAUGCGUAGAUAUGUGGAGGAACACCGAUGGCGAAGGCAGCCCCCUGGGUCGACACUGACGCUCAUGCACAAAAGCGUGGGGAGCAAACAGG